This 72-nucleotide transfer RNA is filed under the name Pelodiscus sinensis (Chinese soft-shelled turtle). It matches the Rfam family "tRNA". Rfam says of the family: Transfer RNA (tRNA) molecules are approximately 80 nucleotides in length. The record is from Rfam by way of RNAcentral. Lineage: Eukaryota; Metazoa; Chordata; Testudines; Trionychidae.
GGCAGUGUGGCCUAAUAGAUAAAGCACUAGACUGGGGCUCAGGAAAUCUGGAUUCCUGUCCCAGCUCUGCCA